CCCCCGCAGCGGCCCCGGCGCGGCUCCCCCGCCGGCCUCCGGGCCGCCCGGGCGCCUGGAACCUUCCGCUUUCGGAUCCAGAGAGGCCCUCGCCCUCGCCACCCGGAGGAGCCCGGCCCCCGUGGCUCCCGCAGCCUCCUCCUCCCACCCCCAGCCCGGAGCGCCGCCGCGGCUCCCGGCAGCCCCCAACCAACCGGAUAGAUGGAGAAACGGGACCAGGGACAGCUGCCCAGUGGAAGACUCCCGCCCUUGCCCGCACCUAGCGGGGAAUAAGGAAUGUGACUUCUGUGGUUCCUCAGCACCUUUACUCUUUCCUAUGUGUCCUUGACUCUGGCCACUUAGUCGCCUGCCUCCUGGGGGAGUCCAGGGGAGAGGCGGGUGCUCCUGCUCCCCUUCCCCCAGAGCUGAGUAAUGGUCCCUCUGCCGUUGGAGGGUGGUAAACAGUGUCGAGCGCGA
Suricata suricatta (meerkat) is the source of this 456-nucleotide long non-coding RNA. RefSeq lists it as uncharacterized. The transcript has 2 exons. NCBI's taxonomy places the organism in Eukaryota, Metazoa, Chordata, Mammalia, Carnivora, Herpestidae. The record is from RefSeq and is a predicted model, not a curated record.